This 1328-nucleotide long non-coding RNA is filed under the name Junco hyemalis (dark-eyed junco). RNAcentral's name for it is "lncRNA (ENSJHYG00000011436.1)". Lineage: Eukaryota; Metazoa; Chordata; Aves; Passeriformes; Passerellidae. The record is from RNAcentral.
AUGCUCAAGACAAUGUGCCUGGAGCUCCGUGAGGAGGUCAGCGCGGUGAAGCUGGAGCAGUCCCAGAUGGCAGAGAACAUGCAGUACCUGAUGCAGAACUUCAACAUGGAACAAUUCCAGAACAUGAUGGAUGAGUUCCGGAACCAGCUGUGGGAGUCUCUCAUGUCUGCCAUGAAGGAAAUGCUGGCCGGACCCAGCGCCCGAGAAAAGAAGGCUGGCCAGGCCCUGGAGUCGGAGGAAGACCUCGGAGGGCUGAUUGUCAUCGGCAAUGAAAUUCCCCUCGUGGAAAGGCCCAAGACAGCGAAGCGUGGGGAGAGCCGGCCUGACAGCCCCAAGGGAGAGGGCAAAGAGAAGGACGAGGCUGCCAGCAGUGACGUUGGGGACAGUGACACAGCACAGAGUGACACGGCACAGAGCAGGGCACCGGCUGCCACGGCACAGAAGGGCGUGGGACAGAAGGACAUGAGGCAGCGGGGUGACACAGGACGGACUGACACGGAACAGAAGGACGUGGGACAGAAGGACGUGAGGCGAGGUGUGCAACGGAGCGAUGCAGGACAGAGUGACGUGGGACAGAAGGGCGUGGGGAAGAGUGUGAAAUGGGGUGACAGAGGAGGGACUGACAUGGGACAGGCUGACAUGGGACAGGAGGACAUGGAACAGAUCAGGAAGGAAGAGAUGGAGAUGGACAUUGCUGAGGUAGAGGCUCUUCCCAGCUCCCUGGACAGUCGCCCUGAGAUGACCAGCAUGGGAGAGAUCAGGGAAGAAGAGACCAAGAUGGGCAUCUCCAAGGCUCCUCCCCAUGCUCAGAUGAAGAUUUCAGAUGGCACCACCUCAGAAAUGCAUCCAGGAGCCCCUAGCAGCAGUGCCCCAGUCCAGAGGGUGCAGUCAGUCCGAGGCGUCCCAGGAUCCCAGGACCUCUGGGUACCAUCUGAGAGCGUGGCUGGGCCCAGCAGGAUGUUCCUGAGGGUGCCCUCUGCCGAGUACGCACCUUGCGACCCGCUGGUGAAGAUGUCUGCACAACGCCCUGGGGUCGUCCCGUCCACGCCGCCGGCAGCCCCCGGGCUCUCCAUGCGCAUGCCCCGCCUGCGCAGGCCGGACCAGAGGGACGAGGCAGCCGACGGCUACACCCGCCGGUCCCCGAUGUACUCCGGCGGCAAACACACCAGCGUCAGCCCCGUGCAGCGCAUGGAGCCCCUGCUCCCGGACCCCAACCUGCCCGGCACGUACGAACUGAUGGGCAAGGACGGAGUCGUGUACCGGGGCCGGAUGGUUCCGGAAUGAGCGAGCAACGCCGGCCUGCAGAAAUAAAGGGUAACCAACCAACA